This 495-nucleotide ribosomal RNA is filed under the name uncultured bacterium. Its description in RNAcentral is "partial 16S ribosomal RNA". It matches the Rfam family "Bacterial small subunit ribosomal RNA", at positions 28 to 523 of the family's 1533-position model. The record is from RNAcentral.
GAUGAACGCUGGCGGCGUGCUUAACACAUGAAAGUCGAGCGAAGCACUUAAGUCUGAUUCUUCGGAUGAAGACUUUUGUGACUGAGCGGAGGACGGGUGAGUAACGCGUGGGUAACCUGCCUCAUACAGGGGGAUAACAGCUAGAAAUGACUGCUAAUACCGCAUAAGACCACGGUAGCGCAUGGUUCAGUGGUAACAACGCCGGUGGUAUGAGAUGGACCCGCGUCUGAUUAGGUAGUUGGUGGGGUAACGGCCUACCAAGCCGACGAUCAGUAGCCGACCUGAGAGGGUGACCGGCCACAUUGGGACUGAGACACGGCCCAGACUCCUACGGGAGGCAGCAGUGGGGAAUAUUGCACAAUGGAGGAAACUCUGAUGCAGCGACGCCGCGUGAAGGAUGAAGUAUUUCGGUAUGUAAACUUUUAUCAGAAGGGAAGAAAAUGACGGUACCUGACUAAGAAGCCCCGGCUAACUACGUGCCAGCAGCCGCGGUAA